UACGUAGGGGGCAAGCGUUGUCCGGAUUCAUUGGGCGUAAAGAGCGUGUAGGCGGCCAGGUAGGUCGGUUGUGAAAACUGGAGGCUCAACCUUCAGAGGUCGACCGAAACCAUCUGGCUAGAGUCCGGGAGAGGAGAGUGGAAUUCCUGGUGUAGCGGUGAAAUGCGCAGAUAUCAGGAGGAACACCGGUGGCGAAGGCGGUUCUCUGGGCAUUACCUGACGCUGAGGAGCGAAAGCGUGGGGAGCAAACAGG
RNAcentral lists this ribosomal RNA (253 nucleotides) under uncultured bacterium. Its description in RNAcentral is "partial 16S ribosomal RNA". It matches the Rfam family "Bacterial small subunit ribosomal RNA", at positions 524 to 776 of the family's 1533-position model. The record is from RNAcentral.